UACGAAGGGGGCUAGCGUUGCUCGGAAUCACUGGGCGUAAAGCGCACAUAGGCGGAUUUCUAAGUCAGGGGUGAAAUCCUGGAGCUCAACUCCAGAACUGCCUUUGAUACUGGGAAUCUUCGAGUCCGGGAGAGGUGAGUGGAACUGCGAGUGUAGAGGUGAAAUUCGUAGAUAUUCGCAAGAACACCAGUGGCGAAGGCGGCUCACUGGCCCGGUACUGACGCUGAGGUGCGAAAGCGUGGGGAGCAAACAGG
This 254-nucleotide ribosomal RNA is filed under the name uncultured bacterium. Its description in RNAcentral is "partial 16S ribosomal RNA". It matches the Rfam family "Bacterial small subunit ribosomal RNA", at positions 524 to 776 of the family's 1533-position model. The record is from RNAcentral.